GUCCUUAAAAACAAGAAGCUUAAAUAGUGACCUCAUCUUAGCUCUUGUAAUGUAGUUGCAGAUCAAAUAACCAUGAUUCAUAAACCAACACAAAGGAACCCUUUGCUUCUUGACUGACUCCAGAAUGAGUGAACAACAUGACUAAGAGCCUAGUCGCAGAGCCUUUCUCCAGACUACCUUGCUGGGUCCCGGAUAUUAAUAGUCUUGGAAAGCGGUUUCUACAGCUGCUGCUUUGCCUGCAAAUAGCAAUGCUUUUCCCAAACAUGCACAUAACACUGCCUUCUCUUAACGAGAACCUCCAAAAUAAACAAUAGUCACCCCUGACCUACUAAACAGUCAUCACAUGGAGAUGAGUUUUUAUCCUCACCUUCUUGCUUCUUCAGUGAACAAGUAGUAACAAGCAGCUCCUGCGUGUGCCUCGAUCUGAGCUGGCAUACCAUUGCUGCCGAGACUGUAUAAAGUGCAAAUUGAAAAACACAGGAGACUCACGUCUAUAUCAGUGAACACAUUUUCUUUCCUUUCUUACAGGGUUUUGGAAAUUUGCCCAUCUGCAUGGCAAAGACCGAUCUUUCUCUGUCUCACCAACCUGACAAAAAAGGUGUGCCAAGGGACUUCAUCUUACCUAUCAGUGAUGUCCGGGCCAGCAUAGGUGCUGGGUUCAUUUACCCUUUGGUCGGAACGGUGCACCACUGACAUCAUGGCUCGGCUGGACUCUGGAAAGCAGGAAAUUGCUGGAGCAUGUUUGGGCAUCAAUGAUGUCAUCCGCUACGAAUGCCGGGUGGGGUUACUGGACUGAGGGCCAUGAAAAAAGAAAGCUGCGGCCCUGCCCCGUGG
RNAcentral lists this long non-coding RNA (834 nucleotides) under Homo sapiens (human). Its description in RNAcentral is "non-protein coding lnc-FOXD4L5-23:8". The record is from RNAcentral. Lineage: Eukaryota; Metazoa; Chordata; Mammalia; Primates; Hominidae.